Centrocercus urophasianus (Greater sage-grouse) is the source of this 2385-nucleotide long non-coding RNA. RefSeq lists it as uncharacterized. The transcript is spliced from 3 exons. The record is from RefSeq and is a predicted model, not a curated record. Lineage: Eukaryota; Metazoa; Chordata; Aves; Galliformes; Phasianidae.
UCUCUUCCCAUGAUCUGCUGAGCUCAUGAGAAACUAAGGGACAAUCGUGAAAAUGUUGGUUGGAAGGAGUCCAGCUCGACUGGAGCAAAUCUCAUACCACCAGUAGCUCAAAGAAGCCAUGGCUGUUUCCCUAAAUCUUCAGGAAUGCAUCCUGCUAAAGAAUCUUAGAUUUUGACAAGAAGGUUGUCAGAUGCUCCCCCUUCAGCAUCAAUUGGAUCAUCACUUCUGAAAGAUAACCUCGUAUGAAUUGCAGAUCAUUCCUACGGCUGGAAAAGGGAUUACGGCUGAAGAAAAAGAGUGGUGGCCUGUGUCACCUGUUCCAGUUUCAGUGUGCCUAAUAACUGACGAAACCAACAGAACUUUUGGGCUCUUCUGACUAGGAAUGAACAUGGAACAGAAGGUGGAUGGGAGAAUAAAGCUCAUCUUUGUAAUGCUUAGUCUACAAUUUGUACAGCUGACCCAAGGUAUGAGGUGAAGGAUGCAUAGCUGAAUGUCAAAUAAUUUAGUGCAAGUCAGUAAUAGUCAUAUUCCAUUUUCCUUGCCACAUCAAAUCUUACAGAAUUUAGCUUAAGGUAGUUUUGCAGCUGAGAAACUUCAGCAUUCAUUGUUCCCUAUUUAUUUAGGUUUUUAUUCAGGAUUUUACUCAGUUUUUAUUAUCUACUACUGCCUAUAAAAAUAGAGUAAACUGAAUACCUUUGAUAGCUUAACACAUAAAAUUUGCAUUUCAGGUUCAUUUCAGUUUUUGUCACAUAUUUGUAUGACCAAAUGACGAUACUUGCUAUGUUUAUAAAAUCAAUAUAGCCUCAUAAAGGAGAGAUUUUUUUUCAUUUACUACAGAAGCUGUUACUGUUCAUUAUACAAAAGAAUUAUAAAUGUAUUGCUUUUCCUUACUGCUGGCUUUUCCCUUACAUUUUUCUUUUUUAUUUCUCCACCAAAAUUCUUUUCAACAGAAGAGAGCAGAGGUAUGUAAGAUAUCUAAAAAUGUCGCCAGUAAAGCAAGAAAUUGUUAGUAGGCUUUUUCUGCUUUCUGUGAUAGGAUCUGGUCCAUCAACUUCUAAAUACUAGGCAGUGAUUCUGAACACUGCUGAUGAAUUUCAUGUCCUGUUAAAAGGGCUUUUUCUGCCAAAUCUACUUAUUGGUUUGCUUGUCAUCAAAAUUCAACUGAGGAUGUGGAGAUCCUUCUCCAUCUAAAUAAAAGGAUUAAAAUAGUCACUUUAGCAAAAGAUCAAGUGAUUACAAGUAUAAGAAUUGUACCCACCAUAAUCCGAGGCAAUGAUUUGACCUUAAAGUACUGUAUCCCACCAGGUUUGAUACUGAUAGAAUACUGAAUGUUCAUACUCUACAGGAGCAUGCUUCUACAGGAAGGUUCACCAACAUCUGCUUCUGCCAUUGUGGGCCAAUAUAAUUAAAUAAGAGGCAUUACUUUUGGAGCAGCUUUAUUAUAUCCUGGGACACUUCAUAGCUUUAUUUUCCCCCCCAGUUUCUAAUAGAGAACACAACAGUAACAUUCUGGAAGUUCCAACAAAACAAAUCAGUCUGUCUCAUGUCACAUGUUGAUGGGCUGAGUUAAGAGUUGCCAUUAACUUCAGCUAACAGAAACGUGGUGCAGCAGGCACCAGCCACGCACCUACUUGAUUUUGUUCCAGACCUCCCACAAGCUUCUCAGCUCUGCUUCUGAUAUAUGCUGUCUUUCCACUGGCAAAGCAUCUCCUUGGUUUUGAGCUACAGUGAUACCGGCCAUCCAACUUUUACAAAUUCAGAUACAUUGUCUGACUAAAUGCAUGAAAGAGAAGUUGUGUGUGAGUUAAUUACUCCUAGAAAAUAUAAUGUGGCAUUUGAUAAGACAAGGCAAAGAAACUUCCUGUUCCUAAUGAUGUAUUUCUGAGUCUUCUUUUCAUAUGAUCAGAAGGGAUUUAAGUUACUAAAGCAUCGUGAUGACCUAAAAGAGAAUUAAGUAGUGUUUGUAAGCUGUGGUAUUCGGACUGUUUCAAGAUUGAGAUUUAUUUGUUUGUGGGAUAUUUCGUUUCUAUUUUUAAGUGCUAUUUUGUUGAGAAUCAAGCAAAGCAUAGGGCUAGAUAAAGAUCCAAGAAAAUAUAUCUUUCAGAUAGAUAGGGAUUUUUUUGCUGUCAAUACCAUUUUUUUUCCUGCUGUAUACAAGCUGGAUAUUUUCAAGUUAUGGAUUUAUAUAUAUGCAUGCAUAUUGAUUUACAUUUGUACAUUUAUACAUAUUGAUAUAUAUAAAUGUAUAUAUGUGACUACAGACCUAGUUUAAAUUGUUUUCUACUUGCUAAGUAUUGUUCAGUUCCUGCUAGAAGUAAAUUAGCAAAUAUAUUAAAUAGGUCAUGUAAAAAAAGAGAAUAUGCAAUCUCCUUUUGCCAGUUUUUA